RNAcentral lists this ribosomal RNA (500 nucleotides) under uncultured bacterium. RNAcentral's name for it is "partial 16S ribosomal RNA". It matches the Rfam family "Bacterial small subunit ribosomal RNA", at positions 30 to 523 of the family's 1533-position model. The record is from RNAcentral.
AUUGAACGCUGGCGGCAGGCCUAACACAUGCAAGUCGAGCGGAUGAAGGUAGCUCGCUACCUGAUUCAGCGGCGGACGGGUGAGUAAUGCCUAGGAAUCUGCCUGGUAGUGGGGGACAACGUUUCGAAAGGAACGCUAAUACCGCAUACGUCCUACGGGAGAAAGUGGGGGAUCUUCGGACCUCACGCUAUCAGAUGAGCCUAGGUACGAUUAGCUAGUUGGUGAGGUAAAGGCUCACCAAGGCGACGAUCGUUAACUGGUCUGAGAGGAUGAUCAGUCACACUGGAACUGAGACACGGUCCAGACUCCUACAGGAGGCAGCAGUGGGGAAUAUUGGACAAUGGGCGAAAGCCUGAUCCAGCCCUGCCGCGUGUGUGAAGAAGGUCUUCGGAUUGUAAAGCACUUUAAGUUGGGAGGAAGGGCAGUAAGUUAAUACCUUGCUGUUUUGACGUUACCGACAGAAUAAGCACCGGCUAACUUCGUGCCAGCAGCCGCCGUAA